RNAcentral lists this unclassified non-coding RNA (586 nucleotides) under Hevea brasiliensis (rubber tree). Lineage: Eukaryota; Viridiplantae; Streptophyta; Magnoliopsida; Malpighiales; Euphorbiaceae. The record is from RNAcentral.
AAUGGCCAUUAUUUAAAACCAUGUCCUCACCUAUUCUUCAACAAUCAUGUACAGAAAAUUCCAAAUAUCCAGGCCCAAUUUACUAACUACAUACUAAUUCAAACUAGCAUUGAAGGUAACAUCACUUUUUGUCACAGUUAAUAGUAAAUGCCAAGGAAAUUCCAUAAAAUUUUCCAAAUGCUUACUUUCCACUACUUGGUCUACUUAAUUUAACCUCUUUGUAACAUGUUAUAGACAUUCUGUGCAAAUGGGAUAAGGGCAUAAGGAAAAAGGCGCAACAUUCAGAAAUUUUAGUAAUGCACAUGUGACCUAUGGCACAUUUACCCCACCCCCUUUCCCUCGUGAACACAACUUAGGCUUCAAAUUUGAUAGAAAAUAAGACAAAAGUAAUGUCGAGUUCACCAAUGUAAACAACAACCAUAUUGAAGUAAAAUCACAAGUUACAUGAUAAGUCCAACUUUAACUAAGACCCUCAAGAAGUCAUUAGACAUUUUUAAUUAAGAGUCAGACCUAUUCUACACCCCUACUCAAUACCACCAAGUGCAACCAUCUCAACCAUCAUGAUUAUUCCCACUCCUACAUUUGA